This 386-nucleotide unclassified non-coding RNA is filed under the name uncultured fungus. RNAcentral describes it as "partial contains small subunit ribosomal RNA, internal transcribed spacer 1, and 5.8S ribosomal RNA". The stretch from base 1 to 73 matches the Rfam family "Eukaryotic small subunit ribosomal RNA", at positions 1759 to 1831 of the family's 1831-position model. The record is from RNAcentral. Lineage: Eukaryota; Fungi.
GCAAACUUGGUCAUUUAGAGGAAGUAAAAGUCGUAACAAGGUUUCCGUAGGUGAACCUGCGGAAGGAUCAUUAUUGAAAUCAAUUGGUUUGGGUUUGUUGCUGGCUUUCUUGAGCAAAUGUGCACAUCCAGACCACCUUUUUCAAACCACCAGUGAACCUGCUGUAGACCUGAAGCCAAUCAAACCAGUCGUCAAAAACUUGUUUGGAGUUUGGAUUGCUGUGCAAGUAAUUGUCAGCUUUGCUUGAAUUCAGGUUUAUGUUUAUAAACACCUAAUGUAUAUUUGGACUGUAAAUAAAAAAGGCUUUCUAUGGCUUUUUUUUAGUGAAACGAAAUACAACUUUCAACAACGGAUCUCUUGGCUCUCGCAUCGAUGAAGAACGCAGC